Molecule: ribosomal RNA, 497 nt
Filed under: uncultured bacterium
Lineage: Bacteria
Description: partial 16S ribosomal RNA
Rfam family: Bacterial small subunit ribosomal RNA
Source: RNAcentral
GAUGAACGCUGGCGGCGUGCCUAACACAUGCCAGUCGAGCGAACAGACGAGGAGCUUGCUCCUCUGACGUUAGCGGCGGACGGGUGAGUAACACGUGGAUAACCUACCUAUAAGACUGGGAUAACUUCGGGAAACCGGAGCUAAUACCGGAUAAUAUAUUGAACCGCAUGGUUCAAUAGUGAAAGACGGUUUUGCUGUCACUUAUAGAUGGAUCCGCGCCGCAUUAGCUAGUUGGUAAGGUAACGGCUUACCAAGGCAACGAUGCGUAGCCGACCUGAGAGGGUGAUCGGCCACACUGGAACUGAGACACGGUCCAGACUCCUACGGGAGGCAGCAGUAGGGAAUCUUCCGCAAUGGGCGAAAGCUUGACGGAGCAACGCCGCGUGAGUGAUGAAGGUCUUCGGAUCGUAAAACUCUGUUAUUAGGGAAGAACAAAUGUGUAAGUAACUAUGCACGUCUUGACGGUACCUAAUCAGAAAGCCACGGCUAACUACGUG